This 320-nucleotide ribosomal RNA is filed under the name Dardanus insignis. RNAcentral's name for it is "partial 16S ribosomal RNA". Lineage: Eukaryota; Metazoa; Arthropoda; Malacostraca; Decapoda; Diogenidae. The record is from RNAcentral.
UCAUUAGUCUUUUAAUUGAAGGCUUGUAUGAAGGGUUGGACGAGAGAAAAACUGUCUCGGUCAAAAAAAUGAAAUUAACCUUUAGGUGAAAAGGCCUAAAUACAUUGAGAAGACGAUAAGACCCUAUAAAUCUUAAUACUAACUAAAUUUGGACUUUUAGUUUGUAUUUUAAAAAAGUACCAAAUUUUUUGUAUUUUGUUGGGGCGACAAAAACCAUAAAAAAAUUAUCUGUUUUAAAACUAAAUACAAUUCCUUUUUAAUUAAAGCAAAGAUCCUAUCUAAAGAUUAAAAGAUUAAGUUACUUAGGAUAACAGUCGUUA